Molecule: ribosomal RNA, 440 nt
Filed under: uncultured bacterium
Lineage: Bacteria
Description: partial 16S ribosomal RNA
Rfam family: Bacterial small subunit ribosomal RNA
Source: RNAcentral
CCUACGGGUGGCAGCAGUAGGGAAUAUUGCUCAAUGGGGGAAACCCUGAAGCAGCAACGCCGCGUGGAGGAUGAAGGUUUUCGGAUUGUAAACUCCUUUUGUUAGAGAAGAAAAUGACGGUAUCUAACGAAUAAGCACCGGCUAACUCCGUGCCAGCAGCCGCGGUAAUACGGAGGGUGCAAGCGUUAUUCGGAAUCACUGGGCGUAAAGGGGGCGUAGGCGGGAUAGCAAGUCAGAGGUGAAAUCCCAUGGCUUAACCAUCGAACUGCAUUUGAUACUGUUAUUCUAGAGUAUGGGAGAGGUAGGCGGAAUUCUUGGUGUAGCGGUGAAAUCCGUAGAGAUCAGGAGGAAUACCCAUUGCGAAGGCAGCCUACUAGGUCAUAACUGACGCUGAGGCGCGAAAGCGUGGGGAGCAAACAGGAUUAGAUACCCCAGUAGUC